AUUGAACGCUGGCGGCAGGCCUAACACAUGCAAGUCGAGCGGAUGAAGGGAGCUUGCUCCUGGAUUCAGCGGCGGACGGGUGGGUAAUGCCUAGGAAUCUGCCUGGUAGUUGGGGAUAACGUCCGUAAACGGGCGCUAAUACCGCAUACGUCCUGAGUGAGAAAGUGGGGGUUCUUCGGUCCUCGCCGGACCUGCUGACCCUAGGCGGUAUUAGCUAGUUGGUGGGGUAAGGGCGUACCAAGGCGACGAUCCGUAACAGGUCUGAGAGGAUGAUCAGUCACACUGGAACUGAGACACGGUCCAGACUCCUACGGGAGGCAGCAGUGGGGAAUAUUGGGCAAUGGGCGAAAGCCUGAUCCAGCCAUGCCGCGUGUGUGAAGAAGGUCUUCGGAUUGUAAAGCACUUUAAGUUGGGAGGAAGGGCAGUAAGUUUAUCCCUUGCUGUCUUGACGUUACCAACAGAAUAAGCACCGGCUAACUUCGUG
RNAcentral lists this ribosomal RNA (484 nucleotides) under uncultured bacterium. RNAcentral describes it as "partial 16S ribosomal RNA". It matches the Rfam family "Bacterial small subunit ribosomal RNA", at positions 30 to 507 of the family's 1533-position model. The record is from RNAcentral.